This 228-nucleotide long non-coding RNA is filed under the name Mytilus galloprovincialis (Mediterranean mussel). Lineage: Eukaryota; Metazoa; Mollusca; Bivalvia; Mytilida; Mytilidae. The record is from RNAcentral.
GUCUUGUGUUGUGCUUUUAUACCACAGAUAAAUUUGAGCACUCACAAACAUUUUUAACCCCGCCGAAUGCCACGGUUUCUAGUUUUGUUUUAUAAAGUCAGGAACAAAUUAUUUGUUAUUAUGAGGUUGUCGUUUCUUGUUAUCCACAAGAGAAAAUAUGACACAGAAAUUUUGUUAGUCUUAUGUGUGUGUGUGUGUUUUUUUCAAUUUUUUUUUUAUAUGUUACGG